This 414-nucleotide long non-coding RNA is filed under the name Carica papaya (papaya). RNAcentral's name for it is "long non-coding RNA (CPAP_LNC003656)". Lineage: Eukaryota; Viridiplantae; Streptophyta; Magnoliopsida; Brassicales; Caricaceae. The record is from RNAcentral.
AGGUGGUAGCGGUCGGCUCCCCGGCGGCUGGGCUGUCUUCUCCGGCGAGGGGCUCUGGCGGCUAGGGUUAGGGUAUGGGUGCGAAUGAGGUUAUUUAUACCCAUCCGCUUUUGAUUUGGCCGUCCAUCACUUUUGAUCUGGACCGUUCGAUCACGAUUAAAUAGGGAGUGAAUCUGGGCCGUUCAUCGCAAUUCAAUCUUAGCCGUCCGUGCACGAUUCAAUCUGGGUCGUCCGUGCGCACUUUUAAUCUUGAUCAUCUGUGCGUGCGGGAACGAAUCUUAGCCGUUCGAUCGUGCGCACAUAGAUCGCCCACGUGGCUCCCCCCAUGUGGCCUCCCACGUCAGCGCCUCUACCACCUAGCGCGUCUUGGUUGGUCGGGGCUACUGACCGGGCAUCUGACGUGGUGUAACUUUU